Molecule: ribosomal RNA, 494 nt
Filed under: uncultured bacterium
Lineage: Bacteria
Description: partial 16S ribosomal RNA
Rfam family: Bacterial small subunit ribosomal RNA
Source: RNAcentral
GACGAACGCUGGCGGCGUGCUUAACACAUGCAAGUCGAACGGUGAAGCGCCUUCCUUUUUGGUGGGUGUGGAUGAGUGGCGAACGGGUGAGUAACACGUGAGUAACCUGCCCCCUUCUUCUGGAUAACCGCAUGAAAGUGUGGCUAAUACGGGAUAUUCUGGGUCUGUCGCAUGAUGGGUCUGGGACAGAUAUUGUUUCGGUGGGGGAUGGGCUCGCGGCCUAUCAGCUUGUUGGUGGGGUGAUGGCCUACCACGGCGGUGACGGGUAGCCGGCCUGGGAGGGUGGACGGUCACACUGGGACUGAGGCACGGCCCAGACUCCGACGGGAGGCAGCAGUGGGGAAUAUGGCACAGUGGGCGCAAGCCUGAUGCAGCGACGCCGCGUGAGGGAUGGAGGCCUGCGGGUUGUGAACCUCUUUCGCCAGUGAAGCAGGCCUGCCUCGUUUGUGGGUGGGUUGACGGUAGCUGGAUAAGAAGCGCCGGCUAACUACGUG